AGGGAUAACCGCUGAAAGCAUCUAAGCGGGAAGCCUGCUUCGAGAUGAGUAUUCCCACCUCCUUGAGAGGGUAAGGCUCCCAGUAGACGACUGGGUUGAUAGGCCGGAUAUGGAAGCCCUGUAAGGGGUGGAGUUGACCGGUACUAAUAGGCCGAGGGCUUGUCCUCAGUUG
This 172-nucleotide ribosomal RNA is filed under the name Streptomyces albidoflavus. Its description in RNAcentral is "partial 23S ribosomal RNA". It matches the Rfam family "Bacterial large subunit ribosomal RNA", at positions 2759 to 2925 of the family's 2925-position model. The record is from RNAcentral. Lineage: Bacteria; Bacillati; Actinomycetota; Actinomycetes; Kitasatosporales; Streptomycetaceae.